This 574-nucleotide long non-coding RNA is filed under the name Ananas comosus (pineapple). RNAcentral describes it as "long non-coding RNA (ACOM_LNC009852)". The record is from RNAcentral. Lineage: Eukaryota; Viridiplantae; Streptophyta; Magnoliopsida; Poales; Bromeliaceae.
AAAUAAAAGGCUCCUACUAGCAGCAAAUUAUAAGAUAGCACUGUCACGCCCCGGGACCCAGCGAAAGCCCGUCCGGUGCGUGUCCAGACCCGCCAUAUGUCUACAACAUAUAAGGCGUCUACAACAAUGUAAUAAUAAAAGCAAUAAUGAACAAACAACUAGGGAUAUCAGAGCAUGAAUAUAACAACUAGAUUCUAAUGACAAGCAGAAUAUCAAAGAGCUAAUCCACUAAAGUAAAGCAUAAAGUAGUACAUUAAUAGGAUCCAACUAUAAGUGUUGGGUAUACAAAAAUAGUGGUCUCUACACAUGGAGACAAAAACACUUACUCUCUACAAUAUAUACAAAAAUAGAGAGACGAACCACCUAAUGAAAAUACUCCUCGCUAUCUAGCUAGAUGCGAUCCCUUUUCCACGAUCCCGAGCCUCUCCCGGUGCGGAUGGCUCUGAAAUAAAAAUAACAAACAGAGGGUGUGAGAACUAUUAGUCAAUAGUUCCCAGUGGGCAAACCGCUGAUCUCAGCGAAAUACACCACUAGGCGAUGAAGGCAUAAGUAGCAAGUUCUAACAUUUAAAAGA